UUGCGGUUAAAAAGUUCGUAGUUGGAUUUCUGUCGGGAGAAGUUGGUCUACACUCGACGUGUACGACAUCUAACUUAUUUCGGCGUCCUCUUGGGGAACGGUGCUGUGCUUAGUUGCAUAGGCCGCGAUUCAAGACAUUUACUUUGAGGAAAUUAGAGUGUUCACGGCAAGCUAUCGCUUUGAAUACAUUAGCAUGGAAUAAUAAUAUAGGGCGUGAGUUCUAUUUUGUUGGCUUCUAGGAUUCUCGCAAUGAUUAAUAGGGAUAAUUGGGGGCAUUCGUAUUAACGCGUCAGAGGUGGAAUUCUUAGAUUGCGUUACGACCGAACCUACUGCGAAAGCAUUUGCCAAGGAUGUUUUCCAUUAAUCAAGAACGAAAGUUAGGGGAUCGAAGAUGAUUAGAUACCAUCGUAGUCUUAAACCAUAAACCUAUGCCGACUAGGGAUUGGCGGUCGUUA
RNAcentral lists this ribosomal RNA (455 nucleotides) under uncultured marine eukaryote. RNAcentral describes it as "bacterial SSU rRNA". It matches the Rfam family "Eukaryotic small subunit ribosomal RNA", at positions 613 to 1065 of the family's 1831-position model. The record is from RNAcentral.